UCCAGACUCCUACGGGAGGCAGCAGUGAGGAAUAUUGGUCGAUGGGCGCGAGCCUGAACCAGCCAAGUCGCGUGAGGGAUGACGGUCCUACGGAUUGUAAACCUCUUUUGCCGGGGAGCAAGCGUGCGUUCGUGAACGCGCGUCGAGAGUACCCGGAGAAAAAGCAUCGGCUAACUACGUGCCAGCAGCCGCGGUAAUACGUAGGGGGCAAGCGUUAUCCGGAUUUACUGGGUGUAAAGGGGGCGCAGACGGCAGCGCAAGCCAGGGGUGAAAGCCCGGGGCCCAACCCCGGGACUGCGCUUGGAACUGCGCGGCUGGAGUGCAGGAGGGGCAGGCGGAAUUCCUGGUGUAGCGGUGAAAUGCGUAGAUAUCAGGAGGAACACCGGUGGCGAAGGCGGCCUGCUGGACUGCGACUGACGUUGAGGCCCGAAAGCGUGGGGAGCAAACAGGAUUAGAUACCCGCGUAUA
This 468-nucleotide ribosomal RNA is filed under the name uncultured bacterium. RNAcentral describes it as "partial 16S ribosomal RNA". It matches the Rfam family "Bacterial small subunit ribosomal RNA", at positions 330 to 794 of the family's 1533-position model. The record is from RNAcentral.